RNAcentral lists this ribosomal RNA (796 nucleotides) under uncultured archaeon. Its description in RNAcentral is "bacterial SSU rRNA". It matches the Rfam family "Archaeal small subunit ribosomal RNA", at positions 80 to 880 of the family's 1478-position model. The record is from RNAcentral.
UGAUUACGGCUCAGUAACACGUGGACAACCUACCCUAUGGAAGGGGAUAAUCCCGGGAAACUGGGGAUAAUACCCUAUAGACUAUGGAUGCUGGAAUGCUCUGUAGCCCGAAAGGUCCGCCGCCAUAGGAUGGGUCUGCGGCCGAUUAGGUUGUUGUUGGGGUAACGGCCCAACAAGCCUGUAAUCGGUACGGGUUGUGGGAGCAAGAGCCCGGAGAUGGAUUCUGAGACACGAAUCCAGGCCCUACGGAGCGCAGCAGGCGCGAAAACUUUGCAAUGCGGGAAACCGUGACAAGGGAACUCUGAGUGCCCGUAAAAUCGGGCUGUCCAUCAGUUUAAAAAACUGGUGAAGAAAGGGCCGGGCAAGACCGGUGCCAGCCGCCGCGGUAAUACCGGCGGCUCGAGUGGUGGCCACUAUUACUGGGCUUAAAGCGUUCGUAGCUGGUUUGUUAAGUCUCUGGGGAAAUCUUCCGGCUCAACCGGAAGGCGUCUCAGGGAUACUGGCAGACUAGGGACCGGAAGAGGUGAGAGGUACUCCAGGGGUAGGAGUGAAAUCCUGUAAUCCUUGGGGGACCACCUGUGGCGAAGGCGUCUCACCAGGACGGCUCCGACAGUGAGGGACGAAAGCUGGGGGAGCAAACCGGAUUAGAUACCCGGGUAGUCCCAGCCGUAAACGAUGUGCGUUAGGUGUAUCGGUGACCACGAGUCACCGAGGUGCCGAAGAGAAAUCGUGAAACGUACCGCCUGGGAAGUACGGUCGCAAGGCUGAAACUUAAAGGAAUUGGCGGGGGAGCACA